RNAcentral lists this ribosomal RNA (468 nucleotides) under uncultured bacterium. Its description in RNAcentral is "partial 16S ribosomal RNA". It matches the Rfam family "Bacterial small subunit ribosomal RNA", at positions 28 to 507 of the family's 1533-position model. The record is from RNAcentral.
GAUGAACGCUGGCGGCGUGCCUAACACAUGCAAGUCGAACGGAAAGGCCCGGCGUUUGUGGGGUGCUCGAGUGGCGAACGGGUGAGUAUCACGUGAGUAACCUGCCCUUGACUUUCUGAUAACUUCAGGAAACUGGGGCUAAUACCCGAGUGGAGCUCCUGCUGCAUGGUGGGGGUUGGAGAGAGUCGGCGGUGGGGGCUGGACUCGCGGCUUAUCAGCUUGUUGGGGGGGUAGUGGCGUACCAAGGCUUUGACGGGUAGCCGGCCUGAGAGGGUUAACGGGCACAUUGGGACUGCGAGACGGCGCAGAAUCCUACGGGAGGCAGCAGUGGGGAAUAUUGCAGAAUGGGCGGAAGCCUGAUGCAGCAACGCCGCGUGCGGGAUGACGGCUUUCGGGUUGUAAACCGCUUUCGCCUGUGACGAAGCGUGAGUGACGGUAAUGGGUAAAGAAGCACCGGCUAACUACGUG